UAAAAACACCCCAAUAUUAUUUGCUUCACUCCAACAUCCCAUAAAGUGUUUGAGGGACAAGUAAUAAAUAAACUACUACCGGAAUGCAUAUAUACUAGCUUGUAGAGCACCAUCUAAAGAUAUGCAUAACUAUAGCUUACUUACUACAGUAGCAACUGCAGGAAGGAAAGACAUUUUGCAAUGGACUAUAAAUAUAUAUAUAUAUAUAUAUAUAUAUACGGGAGCCUGCACUGCAUUGAUCAUGCAAUAGCCAUGCAUGUAUGUAGUCGUGUAAAUAUUAUUGCGCCCCAAUCAACACGCCAUCCAAUGGAUGCUCACCAUAUGUAACUAAAACCAUGACGGACUGCUGCCUUUGGGCCUUAUAGAUCAUGCAAUAGCCAUGCAUGUAGUCGUGCCCCAGAUCAACGUCUAGUUAGCAAAGUUACCAGAAACAUGACUGUUGGCAUGAGUAAGUACACCAUGCUAAAUGCAUGUACCUACCUAGCUAGCUGGUACAGGUACACAUUUCUGUUGGUCCAAACCCAAGAGUAUUUUCCGACAACGACGAUAUGCAACGACGAACAACGAGAUGAAGAAGCAAGUUGACGUGAUCUGACUGCAAUUGCUCUUAAUCUUGACGAUGAACGACGUAGUGCAAAACUAGCUUCUUCUAGCAAGUCUUGCUCUUAAUAAAUCAGACGUCGUAGUUGCCGCAAGCAACACAAAACAGCACACGUACGUAUACAACGGCCAGCUUGCCGGAAGCACGUAGCCACGCACGCGUAGCCGAUACUAC
Molecule: long non-coding RNA, 775 nt
Filed under: Hordeum vulgare
Lineage: Eukaryota; Viridiplantae; Streptophyta; Magnoliopsida; Poales; Poaceae
Description: long non-coding RNA (HVUL_LNC008454)
Source: RNAcentral